GAUGAACGCUGACAGAAUGCUUAACACAUGCAAGUCGACUUGUGGCGGACGGGUGAGUAACGCGUAAAGAACUUGCCUCAUAGUUAGGGACAACAUUUGGAAACGAAUGCUAAUACCUGAUACUGUGAGAGAGCUUUGCGUCCCCUUAGCUAAUUGGAGAGGUAACGGCUCACCAAGACGAUGAUGGUUCGCCGGCCUGAGAGGGUGAUCGGCCACAAGGUGAUUUGGACACCGCCCUUACUCCUACGGGGGGCAGCAGUGGGGAAUAUUGGACAAUGGACCAAAGUCUGAUCCAGCAAUUCGGUGUGCACAAUGAAGUUUUCGGAAUGUAAAGUGCUUUCAGUUAGGAAGCGGUACCAACAGAAGAAGGGACGGCUAAAUACGUGCCAGCAGCCGCGGUAAUAC
RNAcentral lists this ribosomal RNA (405 nucleotides) under uncultured bacterium. RNAcentral describes it as "partial 16S ribosomal RNA". It matches the Rfam family "Bacterial small subunit ribosomal RNA", at positions 28 to 526 of the family's 1533-position model. The record is from RNAcentral.